Molecule: ribosomal RNA, 239 nt
Filed under: uncultured bacterium
Lineage: Bacteria
Description: partial 16S ribosomal RNA
Rfam family: Bacterial small subunit ribosomal RNA
Source: RNAcentral
GCGUUAUUCGGAAUUAUUGGGCGUAAAGGGCGCGUAGGCGGCUUGAUAAGUCAAAGGUGAAAUCCCUCGGCUCAACUGAGGAACUGCCUUUGAAACUGUCAGACUUGAGGCCGGGAGGGGGUAGCGGAAUUCCCAGUGUAGCGGUGAAAUGCGUAGAUACUGGGAGGAACACCGGUGGCGAAGGCGGCUACCUGGACCGGUUCUGACGCUGAUGCGCGAAAGCGUGGGUAGCAAACAGG